GCGUCCUCUCUGCUUUUGGACACUCAUCAUGGAGACAACCAAUGUCUGCUCCCAGGCUCCUCUUGGACCCGCUGGUUACAUCUAUUACCAGCUUGUGGAUGACUUUCCUCUAGAGGAGGCAUCCCUUCUAUCCACCAACUUCACUUCAGCCAAAGCCUGUCUUUUACCUCUGGUAACAGGCUUGACCGUGGAACCUGGAUUUAAUUUCAAUGUCAAGGCACCGUGUCAGAAAAUCAUGUUUGAGUCUCUGACCGUUAAGCCUACAAAAUACUUCAACCAUGCCAUCGUCUUUCACAACAGUAACAAGAUUCCCCCAAUUUUUCAUGGACGUGGCCUGGAACAGCUCUGUGAGGCCACUAGGCUCAUGUUUGGCUUUUCCAGCUUUAAGCCUGAUGCUUCUAAAGGACAAUGGAAAAGCAGCACCCACCUACCACAAAAUCCAGAAAAAUAUAUUGGCUGGGUAGUGGUGGCGGAGAGUUUUAAAGAGCGCCUGAUCUGUGGGGAGUUGGCCAUGUUGUCAGCACCCAUGAAAACUGUGACCAUAAACAACAAACUCUGCUUCAAAGUACCCCUACAUGAUACCAGAUUUCUAAGCUCUGACCAGCUACUGCCCUUCUAUGAUGAAAAUGUCAGCAGGAUCAUGUAUGAGAGCUACUACACCAACGUGGCCCAAGCUGUGCGCAUUCGAGAUGUCACUGGACUGAUAGAAGCCCUGCAGGAAAGAGCUGUUACAGAACAGUACAAAACAGCAAAAUUGGCAAGUCUGAAAACAUAUCCUGCAGAAAACUGCGGUGCCGGCAACCUAGAAUAUGCUGUCAUUGACGCUGCAGUGUCUGAACUGGCCGUCAGCCACGGUCUUGCUUUCCUGGAAGCACCUCAGGAGGAGUCUCCCAUCCAGAACUAUGUCCAGUGGCCCAUGUUUUCAGAAGAUGCUACCCCAGAAGGAAGAAUUAAAGCCCUCCAGGAAUGGAAUGCCAAGAUGGCCAUCCACGUCCACGCUCAAGUCCUCAGUGCCAACUCUGUCCUGUACGUGACCAAAGUUGGGCAGUCUGCAGGAAAGGCUGUUGGGGGGAAACAAGAUGACAUGUUCCUGGGCCGCUACUAUAUGCAGCAUGGACUGGGCCACCUCAAUGUGCAAACUAGGGAUGAGAACAACACCGUGGUGUUCCCAGGCGUGCCAGAUUCCUGCAUGAAUGGGUCCCAGUACACUGUACAUCAUCUUGCCUAUGCUGCCUCCAUGUCUCCCCAUAUUCUUGCCCGGCUCUGCUACUAUCUUCAGAUGUGUCAAAACCAGCGGCUAGCCUCCACGCCUCAGGGCACUACCGUGCCUGCCUACGUGACCACCACAGCCAACACUUCCAUGUGUGAUCUUUGUGGAGGGGACCUCCCAGCCGUGUGCCUCCACACCCUCUUUUUUCGUCUGAGGGACAGAUUUCCUCAGGUGCUGGCCACGCAGAAGCGUGACCCUUAUGUGGUAACCGGGAUAGCUGGGCCCCACAAUGACAUGGAGAUUCUUGGAAACUUUGGAAGUUUCAAAGAAAAAGAUGAUGACCAGGAGAAUGGACAGAGAUACUCAUAUUGGCAACUAAAUGCCAACUUAACUGAAAGGCUGGAAGAGAUUGGGGUAACAGCUUCCACGCCAGCGUGUCAGCUGAUCACAGACGUAGACUCUUUUUUGACGGUCUUCAAAAAGAUUGAUGCCAUCGUGGACGAGGAGACCAUCAGGUUUAAUGAUGGACUUGUGAGAAAUAACAUCAACUACAAAGAAUCUGUCAAGUCUAUUGCCCACGUGCUACAACUGCAGUGUAACACCAACUGGCUGCCACCGUGCCCAAUCAUCCAUAACCUAUUUACCAGGUCCUUCUUCACCAUACUCCAGGACAUGUCAUUCCCUCUCUGUGUCACCCACCACACAGAAAAUCCUCUCAACUAUGGGACAGUCAGUACCUGGAUGUCCAACCAUUUCCAGAACCUAUGGAGCAACUUCAAGUCUAUCUGGUUUGACAAGGGGCUGCUCACUUGCAGUGACAUGCGAGUAGUCCACACUGAAACCAGCUCUGAUAUGGAAAACCUGGCUGCAGACCUCCCCAAGCAAAGAUGCGCCAUUAGAUUGUCCAGAGCCCAGAUCUUUGCGCCCAAGGCCCUGAAGAUAAAAAACAGGAUCAUCUUUUCCAACUCUUCCAGCACAGAAUCCCUGUCUGCCAGCUUCGUGAAAGCUGGGAAGGCAGAGAACCCCAUCACUGCCGGUCCCUACAUGCACUUCCUAACACAGCUCCAUAAACAGCUGUUCCCCACAACCAAAACUGGGGCCUAUUACAUCUGGCAAACCUUCAUGUCCAGCAAAAAACUUCCACAGGCAGGUUCCACCAAUGCUAAAAAACUCUCAGAGUUUAUUUCCUAUCUCAUGACCAGCAGUCUAGCACACGAUGAGGUCAAUGUGCUAGACUACGUACCAACCACCCUCAUGGCCUACGCGAAGCAGCGACUCAACAAUGCCAUCUUGCGGCUAUGUGGGCAAACGCAGUUCUAUGCCACCACCAUAAACUUUCUACAACCCACAAUCCUUUCCAUGCCCAGCCUGGACUAUCCGCAUGUGGCUGGUCCCGUUCCUGUGCAAGAUUUGACAACAUACAUGGACAUGACUCGGGACCAGUCUGCCACAGUGAUCCAGAGCUCAUGCAGAGAAGAUCCAGCCGCGGUGUGUAAGAUGCGCCCCAUCGUGACAAUACCCAUGAUGGUUAACAAAUAUUCAGGCUCUAAUGGGAAUAAUUCUAUUUUUCAAAGUGGUAACAUGGGUUAUUUCAUGGGCAGGGGGGUUGAUAGAAAGUUGUUGCCAGAUAUCCCUAGGAUGAGAAAGCAUGUCAACACCUCUAUGAGGAGAAGAUAUGCCUUUGCUUCCCCCAUGACAGAGAGUCUCUUGACCCAGCCAGGUAAGGGUACUGUCCGCACCUAUCAGCUGGAAAAAACUAGAAAGAUUAUUCACGAUAUCAUAGCAUCUGGGAAUGCUGAGCCUGAGAACCUGGUUUUAGAGUUGGUAAAAUGUUUAGGGCACGAAUGUGCAACACUAACUUCAGAUGAUGUGGAAUUCUAUCUGGGAGAGUUUUCAUUUAUGGUGAAUGAUGUCAUGGAGGUUCUCGAAACCUUGAAGGCUUCGGGGUGUGCCUUCAGUGAGGAGAGCGUACAGGCUUUGCUUCCAACUUCAAGUCCAGGUACAUCAGAGUCAUUUGUAGAAGUGACAGACAAUAUUAUAACUAGUCUUCCAGAAAUUUCUGUUACUCAGUUCACUGCUGCUCCCCCAAAACGCAGACGCAUUGCUACUUUUGAGGAUAUAGAUUUAUAAUGUCUAAGGAAGUGGCUGUACUCUAUGCUCAAAUUUAUGGAUUAUGCAUGGACCUCAGCCUGGUACCAUACAUGGACCCUAGCAGCCUAAAUCUUAGAUCCAUCUCCAAUAAUUAUCACAAGCUCUGUCAGAUUCAAAAAAUAAUUGGUGGCCAACUUCUAGAAAAUAAUACCCAAACACCUUGCGCUCUCACGCUGGAACUUGAACACUUGCUCUGUAAUGCUGUAGAAUUGUGUAAAAGUGUACUCUCACAUGAAAAUACCUAUGAUCAUGUACUCUGUAGCAAACAGUGUGUUUUGGAUGUUAGUUGCCUUGCCUGCUUCUAUGGUGGAGAUACUGUGGAUAUACCAUUGGACACCAUCAAUAAAAUUGACAUGUUAUUCAAAAA
Molecule: non-coding RNA, 3728 nt
Filed under: synthetic construct
Source: RNAcentral